CCUACGGGUGGCAGCAGUGGGGAAUAUUGCACAAUGGGGGGAACCCUGAUGCAGCGACGCCGCGUGAGUGAAGAAGUAUUUCGGUAUGUAAAGCCCUAUCAGCAGGGAAGAAAAUGACGGUACCUGACUAAGAAUCCGCGGCUAACUACGUGCCAGCAGCCGCGGGAAUACGUAGGGGGCAAGCGUUAUCCGGAUUUACUGGGUGUAAAGGGAGCGUAGACGGUUAUGCAAGUCUGAAGUGAAAGCCCAAGGCUCAACCAUGGGACUGCUUUGGAAACUGUAAAACUGGAGUGAAGGAGAGGUAAGCGGAAUUCCUAGUGUAGCGGUGAAAUGCGUAGAUAUUAGGCGGAACACCAGUGGCGAAGGCGGCUUACUGGCCUGUAACUGACGUUGAGGCUCGAAGGCGUGGGGAGCAAACAGGAUUAGAUACCCUGGUAGUC
This 440-nucleotide ribosomal RNA is filed under the name uncultured bacterium. Its description in RNAcentral is "partial 16S ribosomal RNA". It matches the Rfam family "Bacterial small subunit ribosomal RNA", at positions 338 to 795 of the family's 1533-position model. The record is from RNAcentral.